This is a long non-coding RNA of Oncorhynchus tshawytscha (Chinook salmon), 1257 nucleotides long. RefSeq lists it as uncharacterized. The record is from RefSeq and is a predicted model, not a curated record. NCBI's taxonomy places the organism in Eukaryota, Metazoa, Chordata, Actinopteri, Salmoniformes, Salmonidae. The transcript is spliced from 2 exons.
GGAAUGGGCAUAGCCACGUAAAACAGAUAUAACAACUACACACACAGAGAGAAGAGAGGAAUGGGCAUAGCCACGUAAAACAGGUAUACUAAAGAUAACAACUACACACAGAGAGAGAGAGAAGAGAGGAAUGGGCAUAGCCACGUAAAACAGAUAUACUAAAGAUAACAACUACACACAGAGAGAGAGAAGAGAGGAAUGGGCAUAGACACGUAAAACAGGUAUACUAAAGAUAACAACUACACACAGAGAGAGAGAAGAGAGGAAUGGGCAUAGCCACGUAAAACAGAUAUACUAAAGAUUACAACUACACACAGAGAGAGAAGAGAGGAAUGGGCAUAGCCACGUAAAACAGAUAUACUAAAGAUUACAACUACACACAGAGAGAGAAGAGAGGAAUGGGCAUAGCCACGUAAAACAGGUAUACUAAAGAUUACAACUACACACAGAGAGAGAAGAGAGGAAUGGGCAUAGCCACGUAAAACAGAUAUACUAAAGAUUACAACUACACACAGAGAGAGAAGAGAGGAAUGGGCAUAGCCACGUAAAACAGGUAUAACAACUACACACAGAGAGAGAGAAGAGAGGAAUGGGCAUAGCCACAUAAAACAGGUAUAACAACUACACACAGAGAGAGAGAAGAGAGGAAUGGGCAUAGCCACGUAAAACAGGUAUAACAACUACACACAGAGAGAGAAGAGAGGAAUGGGCAUAGCCACGUAAAACAGGUAUACUAAAGAUAUAACAACUACACACAGAGAGAGAGAGAAGAGAGGAAUGGGCAUAGCCACGUAAAACAGAUAUACUAAAGAUAUAACAACUACACACACAGAGAGAGAAGAGAGGAAUGGGCAUAGCCACGUAAAACAGGUAUACUAAAGAUAACAACUACACACAGAGAGAGAGAGAAGAGAGGAAUGGGCAUAGCCACGUAAAACAGAUAUACUAAAGAUAUAACAACUACACACACAGAGAGAGAAGAGAGGAAUGGGCAUAGCCACGUAAAAUAGGUAUACUAAAGAUAACUACACACAGAGAGAGAGAAGAGAGGAAUGGGCAUAGCCACGUAAAACAGAUAUAACAACUACACACACAGAGAGAAGAGAGGAAUGGGCAUAGCCACGUAAAACAGGUAUACUAAAGAUAACUACACACAGAGAGAGAGAGAAGAGAGGAAUGGGCAUAGCCACGUAAAACAGAUAUACUAAAGAUAACAACUACACACAGAGAGAGAAGAGAGGAAUGGCCAUAGCCACG